AUUUGCAGUUGCAUUGCUGCUGCCUGCUAGCAGCAUUCCAUGGUUUUAAACAGAUGCAGGGUACUUCGUCAUUGAUUUAUUUGUGUUUUUAGGUAAACUUCUGAUUAAGCUAAACAUACAAGAUUAUUAUGUUUACAGAAGAAUAAACUAUGCUUUACACAUCAUAUACUGAGCUUUUUUUUCAAGAGUUUCCCAAUUCUUGAAGAACAUUUCAUUGGACUUUAGAUGACUUGUUAUGCUAUAUCUUGCUCAAGGUAGUUCUCAAAUCAUGUUAGCUUCUAUUAUGCAUCAUUUUAUUCCUGUUUACUAAGGUUCACACACUUACAAUCAUGACAGAUUUUAUUCAUUCACCAUUAUAUUUCUGUUUGAAUCCCGCUUUUAUUUAUUCACCAUUAAGUUCCGUUUGAACCCUUCUAUUGUAUGCCAAAAUUUUGUUGAAAUUAUAGAAUUCUUUCAUUAAGGUUGACUUGUAUUUGGGAGACUUGAAGAGCUGUGGAUGUUUCCUUUUGGCUUCAGCAAGAACAG
This 525-nucleotide long non-coding RNA is filed under the name Manihot esculenta (cassava). RNAcentral describes it as "long non-coding RNA (MESC_LNC008634)". The record is from RNAcentral. Lineage: Eukaryota; Viridiplantae; Streptophyta; Magnoliopsida; Malpighiales; Euphorbiaceae.